RNAcentral lists this ribosomal RNA (467 nucleotides) under uncultured bacterium. RNAcentral describes it as "partial 16S ribosomal RNA". It matches the Rfam family "Bacterial small subunit ribosomal RNA", at positions 29 to 507 of the family's 1533-position model. The record is from RNAcentral.
ACGAACGCUGGCGGCGUGCUUAACACAUGCAAGUCGAACGGAAAGGCCCUGCGUUUGUGGGGUGCUCGAGUGGCGAACGGGUGAGUAACACGUGAGUAACCUGCCCUUGACUUUGGGAUAACUUCAGGAAACUGGGGCUAAUACCGGAUAGGAGCUCCUGCUGCAUGGUGGGGGUUGGAAAGUUUCGGCGGUUGGGGAUGGACUCGCGGCUUAUCAGCUUGUUGGUGGGGUAGUGGCUUACCAAGGCUUUGACGGGUAGCCGGCCUGAGAGGGUGACCGGCCACAUUGGGACUGAGAUACGGCCCAGAGUCGUACGGGAGGCAGUAGUGGGGAAUAUUGCACAAUGGGCGGAAGCCUGAUGCAGCAACGCCGCGUGCGGGAUGACGGCCUUCGGGUUGUAAACCGAUUUCGCCUGUGACGAAGCGUGAGUGACGGUAAUGGGUAAAGAAGCACCGGCUAACUACGUG